AUGAACGCUGGCGGCGUGCCUAAUACAUGCAAGUCGAGCGAACAGAUAAGGAGCUUGCUCCUUUGACGUUAGCGGCGGACGGGUGAGUUACACGUGGAUAACCUACCUAUAAGACUGGGAUAACUUCGGGAAACCGGAGCUAAUACCGGAUAACAUAUUGAACCGCAUGGUUCAAUAGUGAAAGGCGGCUUUGCUGUCACUUAUAGAUGGAUUCGCGCCGUAUUAGCUAGUUGGUAAGGUAACGGCUUACCAAGGCAACGAUACGUAGCCGACCUGAGAGGGUGAUCGGCCACACUGGAACUGAGACACGGUCCAGACUCCUACGGGAGGCAGCAGUAGGGAAUCUUCCGCAAUGGGCGAAAGCCUGACGGAGCAACGCCGCGUGAGUGAUGAAGGUCUUCGGAUCGUAAAACUCUGUUAUCAGGGAAGAACAAAUGUGUAAGUAACUGUGCACAUCUUGACGGUACCUGAUCAGAAAGCCACGGCUAACUACGUG
RNAcentral lists this ribosomal RNA (496 nucleotides) under uncultured bacterium. RNAcentral describes it as "partial 16S ribosomal RNA". It matches the Rfam family "Bacterial small subunit ribosomal RNA", at positions 29 to 507 of the family's 1533-position model. The record is from RNAcentral.